Molecule: unclassified non-coding RNA, 252 nt
Filed under: Hevea brasiliensis (rubber tree)
Lineage: Eukaryota; Viridiplantae; Streptophyta; Magnoliopsida; Malpighiales; Euphorbiaceae
Source: RNAcentral
GGUAAACGAGAUUGAACAAUAUUCCAGCAAAAACAAACGCCUUAUUAAGGCCUUGCUUAACAUGCGCAAAUCCAGAAAGGAUCACACACUUUACAAAUAUAUGGAUGACAUUUGAAAGAAACUGGAGGCAUGGAAGGAACCAGAGAGACCUUUGUAGUUUUUGGCCCUAUUUUGUAAUCUAUUUUGUUUUAAUCUUCAAUCACCUUCUGUUGUUUUCCAGUGGAAGCAAGGCCUUAAUAAGGCGUUUGUUUU